Molecule: long non-coding RNA, 214 nt
Filed under: Mytilus galloprovincialis (Mediterranean mussel)
Lineage: Eukaryota; Metazoa; Mollusca; Bivalvia; Mytilida; Mytilidae
Source: RNAcentral
GUUGGUUCAUGUCAGCUAUUUACUUUUUGGCAAUUGUUUUAUUAUAAAUUAUGCUGUUACUUUUCUUGUUUGAAAUCUUUCCCUUUUUUCAUGUCUGGACCUUUAUAGAGAACUUACAGUAUACGGUUGAUUUUUUUCAUUGUUGAAAGCUGUAUGGUGGCCUAUAAUUAUGUACAUCCACUUCAUUUGAAUUUGGUGGAUAGUUGUAUCAUUG